Molecule: ribosomal RNA, 312 nt
Filed under: Triticum aestivum (bread wheat)
Lineage: Eukaryota; Viridiplantae; Streptophyta; Magnoliopsida; Poales; Poaceae
Description: partial small subunit ribosomal RNA
Source: RNAcentral
AUGUUCCGCCUCCUGCUUCAGGGGACAUGCCUUAGUCUGAAAAUCGCACAAGAUGUCUUCUGUCUUCUUUCCAGCCAGGAGAUAGCCCAAACCAAGCUGCUGCAGGUAUGUAACAAUGUUCUUCUGACCAAGUUAUUUGCAACUGAUGCUCUAUUUCAUCAUCUGAACAAUUCAACAUAUGAGGAAGCUCUGCAGGUAGAUCUAGAAACGGUGCCACUGUCGUCCGAUACACAGAGCUCCAAUGAUACAACCACAAUAACUGCAUCUAGCACAUCAUAUGUUCAUCAUAGCCAUGUCACAGUUGUAAAAUGA